Rattus norvegicus (Norway rat) is the source of this 1335-nucleotide non-coding RNA. The record is from RefSeq and is a predicted model, not a curated record. NCBI's taxonomy places the organism in Eukaryota, Metazoa, Chordata, Mammalia, Rodentia, Muridae.
UCAGUGUUACAGCUCUUCUUAGUGUUACAGCUCUCUUGAACAGGGACCCCGAGCAGCAAAAUCGCUCGACUUAUAUAGACAACUGUAUGCUAAUUAUCUCUCAGGGAUUGGUGGGGCUUGGAUCACCCCACUACUUGUCCUCCAGUGAUUGGCGGAGAAUGAAUCACCUCAUUAGCAUAUUAACGGUCAACUGACACCUGGUGCAUAAACCGCACAUGUGCAGUACCGCUGUUCACCACUAGAGGGACCCCUAGCAAGGGGACAAGCCUGCACAUGCGCAGUAAGUCGUUUAUAUCCAGACAAGGCUGGAUGUCGGCGCCAUCUUUGUUUUGCCGCGCUGCUCUCUACAAGAGAAGACCUGUGUGAUCGCUGUGGAAGCAUGAUGACAUGAAGACAAGACGUACGAAGAACAGCGCACGGUCCUGAUCCAACACAGACUUUCGCUGAUGCGUAACAAAGAGCUUCUUACAAUUUCUAGGAGAACCCAAUCUUUUAACAAAGGUCCUUGUAUAGAGGAGAAACAUUUGAGAAAGCUAUUUCCAGUUCCCAAGUUUAUAACCUCUCUACUGAGCAUGAUGGCGUAUCCCUGUACUCCCAGGACUUGAGAGACAGAAGCAAGGGUAUGAGAAGUUCAAGGCCAGCCUCAGCUACAGAAGCUCAAUGCCAGCCUGAAGUUUAUAAGCAGAUAUCAAAAUCCAAUUCUCCUUGCCUUUCCAACUUGGGUUUACAACUGAAUGUCGCUUUGGAAUUUGUCUGUUGCAGGUGACCUGUCUGUCAGUCCUAAAUGAAGGCCAAGAGUGCUGCAAUUCUCUCAACCUGAGAAGCUGACACUUCCCGGUAGAAUCUGCUAAUGUUUACUGAUAUAGGGCAUUUUAUCGUCCUGGGGUGCUCCCACUUGUGACUUCCUUUGUAAGCAAUACUUUAAGAAAAACUAUGAUUAUGUUUUUGAUCUUAAAUGGUUCCCAAAACUCGUGGGUUCAAGAUUUGGUCCCCAACAUAACAGUGUUCAGAGUCAGAGCAUCUGAGAGGUUCCUGAAUCAUGACCACUCUGGCCUUAUAAAGAGAUCUAUUAAUUUAUGGAUUUAUGACUUAACAGGCUCUUAGGAGUAGACAGAAAGUUGAGGAGACACUGGAGAAAGCAGGUCACUAGAGGCAUGGCCCUGAAAGGUAUAUUGGGACCUCACCUUUCUUCCCAGUUUUCAUGAGAUGACCAGUAAACCCUGCCAUAUGCUCCCCACCCUGACAGUCUGUCUCAUUACAGGCCCAGCAACUUAGCCAACUGUCCAUGGGUGGGAGCCUUUGAAACGGAGUCAAAGUAAACCUCUCCUUCUUUAA